Molecule: unclassified non-coding RNA, 284 nt
Organism: Vombatus ursinus (common wombat)
Lineage: Eukaryota; Metazoa; Chordata; Mammalia; Diprotodontia; Vombatidae
Rfam family: Metazoan signal recognition particle RNA
About the family: The signal recognition particle (SRP) is a universally conserved ribonucleoprotein. It is involved in the co-translational targeting of proteins to membranes.
Source: Ensembl
GCCAGGUGUGGCGGCGCACAUCCGUAAUCCCUACUGCCAGGAGGCUGAUCACUUGAGCUAGGGAUUCUGAGCUACAGUGGGUGGAAAGGAGAUUGGGUGCCCACUCUAAGUCUGGCAUCAGGAUCAUAAGUCCCAAGAGUUGGGGGGGGCUACCAGUUUGCUCAUGGAGGGGCAAACUGACCCAUGUUGGAAAUAAAGCAGAUCAAAGCUCCUAUGCCAAUCAGUAGGGGGAUUAGGAUGAAGGAUAGCCGCUCUAUUUCCAACCUGAAUGUGACAGAGAGACC